CGGCAUGGCUGAUGCUACCAUGCAGUCGAGCGGAACGAGUUAUCUGAACCUUCGGGGGACGAUAACGGCGUCGAGCGGCGGACGGGUGAGUAAUGCCUAGGAAAUUGCCCUGAUGUGGGGGAUAACCAUUGGAAACGAUGGCUAAUACCGCAUGAUGCCUACGGGCCAAAGAGGGGGACCUUCGGGCCUCUCGCGUCAGGAUAUGCCUAGGUGGGAUUAGCUAGUUGGUGAGGUAAGGGCUCACCAAGGCGACGAUCCCUAGCUGGUCUGAGAGGAUGAUCAGCCACACUGGAACUGAGACACGGUCCAGACUCCUACGGGAGGCAGCAGUGGGGAAUAUUGCACAAUGGGCGCAAGCCUGAUGCAGCCAUGCCGCGUGUGUGAAGAAGGCCUUCGGGUUGUAAAGCACUUUCAGUCGUGAGGAAGGUAGUGUAGUUAAUAGCUGCAUUAUUUGACGUUAGCGACAGAAGAAGCACCGGCUAACUCCGUGCCAGCAGCCGCGGUAAUACGGAGGGUGCGAGCGUUAAUCGGAAUUACUGGGCGUAAAGCGCAUGCAGGUGGUUUGUUAAGUCAGAUGUGAAAGCCCGGGGCUCAACCUCGGAAUUGCAUUUGAAACUGGCAGACUAGAGUACUGUAGAGGGGGGUAGAAUUUCAGGUGUAGCGGUGAAAUGCGUAGAGAUCUGAAGGAAUACCGGUGGCGAAGGCGGCCCCCUGGACAGAUACUGACACUCAGAUGCGAAAGCGUGGGGAGCAACAGGAUUAGAUACCCUGGUAGUCCACGCCGUAAACGAUGUCUACUUGGAGGUUGUGGCCUUGAGCCGUGGCUUUCGGAGCUAACGCGUUAAGUAGACCGCCUGGGGAGUACGGUCGCAAGAUUAAAACUCAAAUGAAUUGACGGGGGCCCGCACAAGCGGUGGAGCAUGUGGUUUAAUUCGAUGCAACGCGAAGAACCUUACCUACUCUUGACAUCCAGAGAACUUUCCAGAGAUGGAUUGGUGCCUUCGGGAACUCUGAGACAGGUGCUGCAUGGCUGUCGUCAGCUCGUGUUGUGAAAUGUUGGGUUAAGUCCCGCAACGAGCGCAACCCUUAUCCUUGUUUGCCAGCGAGUAAUGUCGGGAACUCCAGGGAGAA
Molecule: ribosomal RNA, 1131 nt
Filed under: Vibrio sp. T7
Lineage: Bacteria; Pseudomonadati; Pseudomonadota; Gammaproteobacteria; Vibrionales; Vibrionaceae
Description: bacterial SSU rRNA
Rfam family: Bacterial small subunit ribosomal RNA
Source: RNAcentral